GCGCGAUCUUGGCUCACUGCAACCUCCGCCUCUCGGCUGAUUCUCCUGCCUCAGCCUCCCGAGUAGCUGUGACUACAGGUGCACAGCACCACAGCUGGCUAAUUUUUGUAUUUUUAGUAGCGAUGGGGUUUCACCAUAUUGGUUAGUCUGGUCUUGAACUCCUGACCUCAUGAUCUGCCUGCCUCGGCUUCCCAAAGUGUUGGGAUUAUGGGCAUGAGCCACCGCGCCAGGCCUUUUUAAACACUUUGUAGAGACGGGGUUCCACUGUGUUGCUCAGGCUGUCCUCGUACUCCUAGGCUCAAGUAAUCCUCCUGCCUUGGCCUCCUGAGUAGCUGAGACUUUGGGUUUGUGCUACCAUGCCUAGCUAAUUUUUUUUUUAAUUUUUAGUAGAGACAAGGUCUUGCUAUGUUGCUCAGGCUGGUCUCUAACUCCUGGACUCAAGCCGUCCUCCCACCUCAGACUCCCAAAGUGCUGGGAUUACAGAUGUGAGCCACCACAACUGGCCAGUCCUUUAGUCUUUACCCCUCCUCCUUUGACCUCAGAACUGACUAUUGCCAAGUUUGUCCUGCAGAUACCUUCCCUCCAAGCAAUUGCUGCAUAUUCAUCAUCCUCACCUUCACUUCCAUUUUUAGGGCACUGUGUGCUCAGAACUUUAUACAUGGCUUUUUUUGUUUGUUUUUGAGAUGGAGUCUUGUUCUGUCGCCCAGACUGGAGUGCAGUGGCAUGAUCUCAGC
RNAcentral lists this long non-coding RNA (734 nucleotides) under Homo sapiens (human). RNAcentral's name for it is "HSALNT0241333". The record is from RNAcentral. Lineage: Eukaryota; Metazoa; Chordata; Mammalia; Primates; Hominidae.